CUUGCCUCUCGGCACUGUCUGUGCCUUGCUUCCUUGGAUUAUUUGCUUUUGGCUGCCUUCAUCAUGCUGAAUGAAAAGUCAACAUGGUGUCCCUGGUCUUUUCAAGGUCUGGACUGAUUCCAGUGGUGCGUUUUCAAGCUUCUGGCUCACAACCAAAAAGCAGCACAGAUCUGCAGGAUGAUGUCCCCAAAGCAAAAGAAUCAUGCACGCUGUGGUGUGAAAUGUAAUGUGAGUCUGAUGUUGAUUUCAAAAUGAAAGGUGAAGAUUGUUCGUGUCCUUGGUGAUUCAAUACUACAGCCAAUAUAAAUGUGGUGUAUGCAUUACAGCUACAAUUCUGACGGUAUACAAACAUAGUAGUAGUAUGUGCAUUCAGUUGAAAUGCACGGUCAGUUGAAAUGUUUAAAUCAAGACUGAAAACCUACCUUUAUUCGUUACAUUACUGCCUUCCCUAAAAUUCAGCCUGGAUUAUCACCUUUUAACAUUGAUGUUUUUAAUGUGGUUGUUUGUCUUUAAAUUUAUAUUAUUGUAAAUCGAUUGAUUGCUGUAUGUUCUGUAUUAGUCUACCCUCAUGUUCCAAAUAACCCACCUUCCCCAAAAUGUAUUUUUGGUGUCUGUCUAUGCUGAGAUCCUGAGUCAUGGCUGUGGCUGAUGCUGUGGUCCUGAGGCCUGGAUCCAGAGUCUGGCCGUUCCUGUUGCUGUGGUCCUGAUGCCCACCUUACUACUUCUUUGAUGGCUGCCAUAGGAUUGCUGACAUCCACCUGGACCCAUUGUCUUCUUAGUUAGACACAUUCAUUCUCCAGCAUUUUGGAUUACCUAUGUUGCAAAUGUAUUAUCUCUUUGAUUUAAGCACAACAUCUAUUGCACUUCUGUCCACCCUGGGAGAGGGAGCCCUCCUCUGUUGCUCUCCCCGAGGUUUCUGCCAUUUUCCCCACGUAACUCUGAGGUUCUAUAGGACGUUUUUCCUUGUACGAUGUGAGGGUCCAAGGACAGAGGGUGUCGUAUUCAUAUUCUGUAAAGUC
Long non-coding RNA from Eleginops maclovinus (Patagonian blennie), 1019 nucleotides. RefSeq lists it as uncharacterized. The record is from RefSeq and is a predicted model, not a curated record. The transcript is spliced from 3 exons. Lineage: Eukaryota; Metazoa; Chordata; Actinopteri; Perciformes; Eleginopidae.